UUCACCAUCAUCGGCACACGUCAUGGCUGUUUAUUCUAUUAUAUAACCCUCACCCCCACUGCCAUUACCACCAUUAAUCAAUAAAAAAAUACUUAUGCAUGUAGCAAAAACAUUGUAUACCUAGACACAUACAGCGUGGACUAACACAGUGCCUUUGAUUUUUCUUUUUCUGUUUUCUUAUUUGCACCUCAAAUCACAUCAGAACAAUGAAAGAUACAAGGGUGGGAGCACCAGACCGAUAGGAGAAAGGAGAGGGAAGGAGGCGCGCCGGAGGAGAAGGUGUAAGAGAGGGUGGUUGGAUCGCGUUUAAGUGACGAUUAGAGUGGUGAUGCUGGCGGUGAUUCUUUAAAAAAAAAGAAGAUAGAACAGAGGAUGGGAAAGCUGGACAGAUAAAAGAAAACAAAGAGAGGGGACACAUUGGGGAAGAAGGCGUUGCAGGGAAAGUGGGUUGGGUCUCGCGUCAGUGGCGACUGAGAUGGUUGUGCUGGGGGUGAUUCUUCUACGAUGGAGCGGCGAGGUUAAAAGAAGGCAGACCAAGGACGAUUUGGUGAAUAUUAUGCACCAAUUUACUGAGACCACUGUGUUGUUAAGGCUAUAUCAGAAUGGCUUGGGUGGCGUUACGCCUGAGGGGAUGGCAAUGACAUAGAGGCUUGGCAACGAAAGCAUGGUCUUUUUUUUUUAUCUUUUUUAUUUAUUUAUUAAUGUUAGUGUUCGGUCAGUUUACGUUCAUUUCGACUAAUCUCACAGGCCCUGAAGUUAACGACCAUGUAAGUUUUCAGUGGUCCUGAAGUUCGUGGGACUCGAACUGGUGAUCUCUAAAGAGCAAAUUCAGUGUCGGAUCAAUUAAGCUAUACUUAUCAGAAUUGAAAGCAUGGUUUUUUUGGAUAGUGGUAGUUGUGGCUACCUUGAAGUCUUUUUGGAUAACGGUGGUUGUGGUUGCCUUUUCAAGGAUUUUGAUUGAUCGGCUCUGUUCUCUGAGUCAUUGCUAGGGGUGAUCAUUUUUUAUUUAGUUUGGUUUUUAUCAAAAAAAUAACCAAACAGGUUUUUUUAAAACCGAAACAUGUUCAAACCGACCGGUUUUGGUUCGGUUUGGUUUUUUAGAACGAAAACCUGUUCUAACCGACAAAACCUGUUCUAACAUAUCAAUUCCGGUUUGACUCGGUUUUUUUUAUUUGACUCGGGUUUUUUUAUUUGGCUUAGUUUUUUUCGGUUUAGCUCGGUUUUUUUCAAUUUGGCCCGGGGUGUUUUCGGUUUGGGUUUAGUUUGGUUUUUUUGGUUUCAUACUUGUAAAACCAAAACUGAAUUGGUUGAUUUUUUAAAAAUUCUAAUUAGUUUUUUUUCAUGAUUCGGUUUUUUCGGUUAUUUUUUUCUGGUUUAAUUGGUUUUUCAAUUUGUUUUUGCUCACCCCUGAUCAUUGCAAAUGUUUUUGCCAUGCUUAAUAUAUUAAACAAAGCUAGAAUUCAUACCCAUUUAUUAUUGAAGAUUUGGAACUUUGUUUUAUUUAACUUCUUUAAUAACUGCAUUUGUCUAUAUAUUAUGCACUCCAUAAAAAGAUGCAGGUCUUUAUAAUUUUGUGCUGCAUGCUUUUCGUACUACCUUCCUGAUGGUAAGCGAUUUAUAGUGAGAUCAAUAUAAUUUUGUUUAGACUUGCCUUCGCAUUC
This is a long non-coding RNA of Populus nigra (black poplar), 1661 nucleotides long. RefSeq lists it as uncharacterized. The record is from RefSeq and is a predicted model, not a curated record. The transcript is spliced from 3 exons. Lineage: Eukaryota; Viridiplantae; Streptophyta; Magnoliopsida; Malpighiales; Salicaceae.